GAUGAAGAACGCAGCGAAAUGCGAUAAGUAAUGUGAAUUGCAGAAUCCAGUGAAUCAUCGAAUCUUUGAACGCACAUUGCGCCCGCCAGUAUUCUGGCGGGCAUGCCUGUUCGAGCGUCAUUACAACCCUCAGGCCCCCGGGCCUGGCGUUGGGGAUCGGCGGAAGCCCCCUGCGGGCACAACGCCGUCCCCCAAAUACAGUGGCGGUCCCGCCGCAGCUUCCAUUGCGUAGUAGCUAACACCUCGCAACUGGAGAGCGGCGCGGCCACGCCGUAAAACACCCAACUUCUGAAUGUUGACCUCGAAUCAGGUAGGAAUACCCGCUGAACUUAAGCAUAUCAAUAAGCGGAGGA
RNAcentral lists this unclassified non-coding RNA (353 nucleotides) under soil metagenome. RNAcentral describes it as "partial contains 5.8S ribosomal RNA, internal transcribed spacer 2, and large subunit ribosomal RNA". The stretch from base 1 to 120 matches the Rfam family "5.8S ribosomal RNA", at positions 35 to 154 of the family's 154-position model. The record is from RNAcentral.